Molecule: ribosomal RNA, 1370 nt
Filed under: uncultured bacterium
Lineage: Bacteria
Description: bacterial SSU rRNA
Rfam family: Bacterial small subunit ribosomal RNA
Source: RNAcentral
AGAGUUUGAUCCUGGCUCAGGACGAACGCUGGCGGCGCGCCUAACACAUGCAAGUCGAACGGAGCUUAGAGAGCUUGCUUUUUAAGCUUAGUGGCGAACGGGUGAGUAACGCGUGAGUAACCUGCCCUAGAGUGGGGGACAACAGUUGGAAACGACUGCUAAUACCGCAUAAGCCCACGGUGCCGCAUGACACUGAGGGAAAAGGAUUUAUUCGCUUUAGGAUGGACUCGCGUCCAAUUAGCUAGUUGGUGAGGUAACGGCCCACCAAGGCGACGAUUGGUAGCCGGACUGAGAGGUUGAACGGCCACAUUGGGACUGAGACACGGCCCAGACUCCUACGGGAGGCAGCAGUGGGGAAUAUUGCACAAUGGGGGAAACCCUGAUGCAGCGACGCCGCGUGGAGGAAGAAGGUCUUCGGAUUGUAAACUCCUGUUGUUGAGGAAGAUAAUGACGGUACUCAACAAGGAAGUGACGGCUAACUACGUGCCAGCAGCCGCGGUAAGACGUAGGUCACAAGCGUUGUCCGGAAUUACUGGGUGUAAAGGGAGCGCAGGCGGGAAGACAAGUUGGAAGUGAAAUCCAUGGGCUCAACCCAUGAACUGCUUUCAAAACUGUUUUUCUUGAGUAGUGCAGAGGUAGGCGGAAUUCCCGGUGUAGCGGUGGAAUGCGUAGAUAUCGGGAGGAACACCAGUGGCGAAGGCGGCCUACUGGGCACCAACUGACGCUGAGGCUCGAAAGUGUGGGUAGCAGACAGGAUUAGAUACCCUGGUAGUCCACACUGUAAACGAUGAUUACUAGGUGUUGGAGGAUUGACCCCUUCAGUGCCGCAGUUAACACAAUAAGUAAUCCACCUGGGGAGUACGACCGCAAGGUUGAAACUCAAAGGAAUUGACGGGGGCCCGCACAAGCAGUGGAGUAUGUGGUUUAAUUCGACGCAACGCGAAGAACCUUACCAAGUCUUGACAUCCUGCGACGAUGCUGGAAACAGUACUUUCCUUCGGGACGCAGAGACAGGUGGUGCAUGGUUGUCGUCAGCUCGUGUCGUGAGAUGUUGGGUUAAGUCCCGCAACGAGCGCAACCCUUAUGGUCAGUUACUACGCAAGAGGACUCUGGCCAGACUGCCGUUGACAAAACGGAGGAAGGUGGGGAUGACGUCAAAUCAUCAUGCCCUUUAUGACUUGGGCUACACACGUACUACAAUGGCGUUAAACAAAGAGAAGCAAGACCGCGAGGUGGAGCAAAACUCAGAAACAACGUCCCAGUUCGGACUGCAGGCUGCAACUCGCCUGCACGAAGUCGGAAUUGCUAGUAAUCGCAGAUCAGCAUGCUGCGGUGAAUACGUUCCCGGGCCUUGCACACACCGCCCGUCA